RNAcentral lists this microRNA precursor (76 nucleotides) under Cavia aperea (Brazilian guinea pig). RNAcentral describes it as "miRNA (ENSCAPG00000003519.1)". Lineage: Eukaryota; Metazoa; Chordata; Mammalia; Rodentia; Caviidae. The record is from RNAcentral.
CCUUGAAUCACUUUGUAGCCCAGGCAGGCCUUGAACUCACAGAGAUCCUCCUGCCCCGGCCUCCAGAGUGCUGGGA